RNAcentral lists this ribosomal RNA (543 nucleotides) under uncultured Glomeromycotina. RNAcentral's name for it is "SSU rRNA". It matches the Rfam family "Eukaryotic small subunit ribosomal RNA", at positions 552 to 1096 of the family's 1831-position model. The record is from RNAcentral. Lineage: Eukaryota; Fungi; Glomeromycota.
AGGGCAAGUCUGGUGCCAGCAGCCGCGGUAAUUCCAGCUCCAAUAGCGUAUAUUAAAGUUGUUGCAGUUAAAAAGCUCGUAGUUGAAUUUCGGGGUCAGCAGGUUGGUCGUGCCAAUGGUAUGCACUGGCCUUGCUGAUUCCUCCCUCUUGAUGAGCCGUAAUGCCAUUAAUUUGGUGUUGUGGGGAAUCAGGACUGUUACUUUGAAAAAAUUAGAGUGUUUAAAGCAGGCAAGCGCUUGAAUACAUUAGCAUGGAAUAAUGAAAUAGGACGUUCGAUCCUAUUUUGUUGGUUUCUAGGAUUGACGUAAUGAUUAAUAGGGAUAGUUGGGGGCAUUAGUAUUCAAUUGUCAGAGGUGAAAUUCUUGGAUUUAUUGAAGACUAACUACCGCGAAAGCAUUUGCCAAGGAUGUUUUCAUUAAUCAAGAACGAAAGUUAGGGGAUCGAAGACGAUCAGAUACCGUCGUAGUCUUAACCAUAAACUAUGCCGACUAGGGAUCGGAUGAUGUUAAUUUUUUAAUGACUCAUUCGGCGCCUUACGGGAA